RNAcentral lists this non-coding RNA (61 nucleotides) under Plasmodium falciparum 3D7. The record is from RNAcentral. Lineage: Eukaryota; Apicomplexa; Aconoidasida; Haemosporida; Plasmodiidae.
CUAUCAUCUUUGGGUCCAAGACUAGGAGUGACUGUGUCUUCUUCACACUUGCCUUCAUCCA